GGUGACUCAAUGGUAGAGUGCUUGCCUCGCACGCAUGAGGCCCUGGGUUCGAUUCCUUAGUACCA
This 65-nucleotide transfer RNA is filed under the name Dipodomys ordii (Ord's kangaroo rat). It matches the Rfam family "tRNA". Rfam says of the family: Transfer RNA (tRNA) molecules are approximately 80 nucleotides in length. Their secondary structure includes four short double-helical elements and three loops (D, anti-codon, and T loops). The record is from Rfam by way of RNAcentral. Lineage: Eukaryota; Metazoa; Chordata; Mammalia; Rodentia; Heteromyidae.